GAUGAACGCUGGCGGCGUGCCUAAUACAUGCAAGUCGAGCGGACGGACGCGAAGCUUGCUUGUCUGAUGUUAGCGGCGGACGUGAGAGUAACACGUGUAUCACCUACCUAUAAGACUGGGAUAACUUCGGGAAACCGGAUCUAAUACCGGAUAAUAUUUUGAACCGCAUGGUUCAAAAGUAAAAGACGGUCUUGCUGUCACUUAUCGAUGCAUCCGCGCUGCAUUAGCUAGUUGGUAAGGUAACGGCUUACCACGGCAACGAUGCAUAGCCGACCGGAGAGGCUGAUCGGCCGCAUUGGAAGUGAGACACGGACCAGAGUCCUACGGGAGGGAGCAGUAGGGAAUGUUCGGCAAAGGGCGAAAGCAUGACGGAGCAACGCCGAGUGAGUGAUGAAGGUCUUCGGAUCGGAAAAAUCUGUUACUAGGGAAGAACAUAUGUGUAAGGAACUGUGCACAUCUUGACGGUACCUAAUCAGAAAGCCACGGCUAACUACGUG
This 497-nucleotide ribosomal RNA is filed under the name uncultured bacterium. RNAcentral's name for it is "partial 16S ribosomal RNA". It matches the Rfam family "Bacterial small subunit ribosomal RNA", at positions 28 to 507 of the family's 1533-position model. The record is from RNAcentral.